This 203-nucleotide long non-coding RNA is filed under the name Elaeis guineensis (African oil palm). RNAcentral describes it as "long non-coding RNA (EGUI_LNC041827)". Lineage: Eukaryota; Viridiplantae; Streptophyta; Magnoliopsida; Arecales; Arecaceae. The record is from RNAcentral.
UACCCCAUAAUUUUCUUAAUUAAUUCUGGCAUGUGACAUUAAAGGAAUUGGUGGAAAACUAAAAGGUGGUUAAGAGUCUUAAGGAAGAAGGACUCUUUCUCUUCUUAACGCAAAUAGAGGGUGGUGGCAUUUAUUUUUGAUGGAAAACUAGAGUGGCAUAAAGGAGUCCUUCCACACUUGAAACUCUUCCAAGUUAAGUAGGA